Molecule: ribosomal RNA, 698 nt
Filed under: uncultured bacterium
Lineage: Bacteria
Description: bacterial SSU rRNA
Rfam family: Bacterial small subunit ribosomal RNA
Source: RNAcentral
CCGCCACCCGGUUAAAACCGAAUGAUUGGCCCGCCUGUUCUGCGAUUACACUUGUAGGGCGGCCAAGAAGAAAAUCGUUAAGCAUCCAACCUGGGGGAGUACGCCGGCAACGGGUGAAACUCAAAGGAAAUUGACGGGGGCCCGCACAAGCGGAAGGAACAUGUGGUUUAAUUCGAUGAUACGCGAGGAACCUUACCCGGGCUUGAACUGCAGAGGAAGGAAAUGGAGACAUUGACGCCCUUCGGGGCCUCUGUGGAGGUGCUGCAUGGUUGUCGUCAGCUCGUGCCGUGAGGUGUCGGCUUAAGUGCCAUAACGAGCGCAACCCUUUUCGUCAGUUGCCAUCAGGUGAUGCUGGGCACUCUGGCGACACUGCCGCCGUAAGGUGUGAGGAAGGUGGGGAUGACGUCAAAUCAGCACGGCCCUUACGUCCGGGGCUACACACGUGUUACAAUGGGUGGUACAGAGAGUAAAGUGCCGGCAACGUCACUUCAAUCAUGAAAGCCAUCCUCAGUUCGGAUUGGGGUCUGCAACCCGACCCCACGAAGCUGGAUUCGCUAGUAAUCGCGCAUCAGCCAUGGCGCGGUGAAUACGUUCCCGGGCCUUGUACACACCGCCCGUCAAGCCAUGAAAGCCGGGGGCGCCUGAAGUCCGUGACCGCGAGGGUCGGCAUAGGGUGAAACCGGUGAUUGGGGCUAAGU